RNAcentral lists this long non-coding RNA (2302 nucleotides) under Gossypium barbadense (sea-island cotton). RNAcentral describes it as "long non-coding RNA (GBAR_LNC011213)". Lineage: Eukaryota; Viridiplantae; Streptophyta; Magnoliopsida; Malvales; Malvaceae. The record is from RNAcentral.
CAUAAUUAAAAUGGAUUUACAACCCCAUAAUCAAAAUAGGCCAACACAUAUGGCUAAAGCCAUAUCACAUACUCUAAUAUUUAAACUCCUAUACAUGCCAUAGGCUCAAAGUACUUGAAAUCACUACACCAAUAACGUUAGCUUGACAGUGUGAUAAUAUCUCCGACGAACUCCAACCCGAGCUAACCUGGCAACCCUAGGAAAUAUGGGAAAGAAGGAGGGGUAAGCUUUCACUUAGUAAGUUCAUAUGAAAACAAUAAGCAACUCAUUAACUUGUUUUAUCAAUGUUUACAACAUAUUCUCAAGUUCACUACAAGCUGUCUUUCUGAGCAAUAGUCACUAAAUUAUUUAUAUCUGGAGCUACGAAACUCCGAAUUAAGUUCCGUUAAUUUUCCAUAAAACUAGACUUAUUUUCCUUUCUUCCAUAAAAUUUCCAGAAUUUUUGGUUAAGCCAAAUAGUACAGUUUAUUCCUCAAAGUUACCCCUGAUUCACUGUCUGAUAGUUCCGACCCUUCUGUACUAAAGUUCAAUUAUCUCAUAGUACAAGACUCGAAUAAUGUUCUCGUCUAUUUCUCUUGAAACUAGACUCAUAUUUAUACUUACUAAUUUUUUUAUAAAAUUUUUGGUUGGGCCAAUUAGUACAAUUUAUUAGUUAAAUUCUCCCCUGUUUCAGGGUAUGACCACUCUGACCCCUGUGCACUACGAACCGAAUUUCGCCCUGUACAGAAUUCCAACGAUCAUUCCGUUUAUUGCCCCUAAAAAUAGACUCAAUAAGGAAUCCAUGAAUAUAAGGUAUUACUCUUAAUAAUUUUUGUACAAUUUUUGGUGAAUUUCUAAAUUCAGAAUAGGGGAACUCGAAUUCAUUCAGACCCUGUUUCACAAAAAUUCAAAUAUCACACAAUAUGGAAUUCUUUUUCUUCCCUUGUUUCUUUCAUGUGAAAAUAUACUCAUUAAGAUUUAAUCCCAUAUUUUAUUCUGCCUCUAACUCAUUUUCCAAUAUUUUUAGUGUAUUUUCAAAGUUACACUACUGCAGUAACUCAAAUCUGUCAAGGCUAAAUUACUAAUUCAUGAUCAUUGUUCACAAAAUUAAUACAACAUCAAUUAUAUAAUCAUCACCGAGACAUUCAUAUCACAUUUUCAUUUACCAUCUUACCAUUUUGUUGUUAUGUCGAGUUUUCAACCCGAGGGUUAAGUAUAUACCUGUUCAAAGUGCCACAUAUAUAGCCAAGCUACUAUGUAACCCACCCAUAAGUGAACUCGGACUCAACUCAACGAGCUCGGAUGCCUAGUUACAUCUCACGAACUCGGACUCAACUCAACGAGUUCGAACAUUCGCAUCCAUAAGUGAACUCGGACUCAACUCAACGAGCUCGGAUGCCCAAAUAUUCCAGUGACAUGUCACUUGUAUCCUAAUCUAUUCCUAAGGUUCAACGGGACCUUUUUCCCAAUCAUGUGUCUCAACCAUCUUCUAGGGAAUGUCGAUACUAAUACUCGGUAGUAUUUCACAUUUUCCAAGUAUAUCAUAUAAUUUGACAUAUUAUCAAACAAUUAUCACAAGUAUAAUAUAUCAUAAUAAUUAUCAUAUAAUUUAAAUAACAUCAAAACAUUUAACAUUUACAUAUGAACUUACCUCGAUACCACAAAGGUAAAAAAGACGUAAUUAUCCCUUAAUCGAUUUCUUUCCGUUCUAGGUCAAAAUCUCGAUUUUCACCAUCUAAAAUAUCACAUUCAACUUAUUAAAACAAUGUACUGAUCAAAUUAGUCCAUUGACACACUUGAGCAAUUUUUACAAUUUUGCCCCUAUAUUUUGCCAAAAUUACCAAAUUACCCCUAGGCUCGUAAAAUUUUUUUUAUCACAUUUCUUUACUCCUUGAGUCUAGAUGAACCAUUUUCAUAACUAUAGCAACUCAUAAUUUCAACUAUUUCACACAUUUACAACUCAUUUUACAACUUAGCAAUCUAGCCAUUUUUAAGGUGUUUUCAUGCAAUUUCUUUCACAAAAAGUUGUUUAUUAGACAACUAGGACUCAUAAUAUUCUAUAAAAACACAGCAAACAACACAUUUACUCUCAUGGAAAAACCCUAGACUCUUCAUCAUUUUGCAAAAUAGACCCCCCAUAUGAAAGCUCAUACUUUAGGGGUUCCAAAAAUGUAAAAAUCAUCAAGAAAGACAUUAAAAAUCACUUACUAGCAAGGGAUGUAAGUGGCUGAUAUUUCAGAGCUUCAAAACCCCUUUCUUUUCUUCCAUUUUCGGUGGAGGAGAAGAGAAAAAUGAUAGCUUUUUCUUUUUAAUUUGUCAAUAA